CCUACGGGAGGCAGCAGUGGGGAAUAUUGCACAAUGGGGGAAACCCUGAUGCAGCGACGCCGCGUGAGUGAAGAAGGAAUUCGUUAUGUAAAGCUCUAUCAGCAGGGAAGAAAAUGACGGUACCUGAGUAAGAAGCCCCGGCUAACUACGUGCCAGCAGCCGUGGUAAUACGUAGGGGGCAAGCGUUAUCCGGAUUUACUGGGUGUAAAGGGAGCGUAGACGGCAGUGCAAGUCUGGAGUGAAAGGCGGGGGCUCAACCCCCGGACUGCUCUGGAAACUGUACGGCUGGAGUGCAGGAGAGGUAAGUGGAAUUCCUGGUGUAGCGGUGAAAUGCGUAGAUAUUAGGAGGAACACCAGUGGCGAAGGCGGCUUACUGGACUGUAACUGACGUUGAGGCUCGAAAGCGUGGGGAGCGAACAGGAUUAGAUACCCCUGUAGUC
RNAcentral lists this ribosomal RNA (440 nucleotides) under uncultured bacterium. RNAcentral describes it as "partial 16S ribosomal RNA". It matches the Rfam family "Bacterial small subunit ribosomal RNA", at positions 338 to 795 of the family's 1533-position model. The record is from RNAcentral.